UUAAUAAUUAAAGUUAUUUUAAUUUGUGAAGAAACAAUUAUAUAAAUUAAGGACAAGAAGACCCUAAGAAUUUAAGAAUUCUUAUGUUACUUAAAUAUAAAAUAGGAAUUCUUAGUUGGGGCAACUAAAAAACAUUAUAAACUUUUUUUUCUUUA
Molecule: ribosomal RNA, 155 nt
Filed under: Dermacentor reticulatus
Lineage: Eukaryota; Metazoa; Arthropoda; Arachnida; Ixodida; Ixodidae
Description: partial large subunit ribosomal RNA
Source: RNAcentral